UGAUCUAUGUUAUAUUUACCUAAGAACGUGCUUUCCUCUUAACUCCUUUUUUUAUUUUUUUAUUUUUUUAUACCGUGUUCAGUGACACUACUGACGAGUAGUCGUCGUCAUGCUCCUCGACUCGAUGUUUCUCCACACACAAGUUACUUAUUAAGCUUUUAAAAUGAAAUGUGAGCCUCCAGCUGGACCACAACUAAAGCUUUGUGUCUAUUGUGUGCAUAGUUUAUUGAGGCGAUGACAUCUGGUGUGUAAUGAUGAUUCCUUUAGACUAGAGUCUCUGAUUUAAAACUGAAGUUUUUCACAGUGCACUGAACACACCUUUGAACCCAUCUGCAGACAUUUUCCUAAAAUGUCAAACUCUAGUGACUGGCUAAAUAUUUUAUUUAUUUUUUUUUAAACAUGUUGAACAGACUUGCAUGAAGAAUGGCUUGACUGGACCCCUGGUACUUUAUUUAAUGACUUUCAUGGAGACUGGCUGAACUGGACCUAGGUACCCAGCUGUACUGACGUGUGGACCAAGCUGUUGUGAUGUCAUUGCUACAUGAAAUUGAAUCCUGUUGCCAAGACUGAAGAAGGACUGAAGAAGUUAGACUCGCAGGAUUGGGAUCUAAAAACAGGAAGAUAAACGCCUCCAAGGAAGGAGUCCAAGGAGCCCGAAGUCUGCUUCUUCAAGUUCUUCUUUCCCAAUCCAGUUACUUCGAUUCUUUUCCCUGUUCCUAAGUGGACUGACAUGUUGCCACAUGUUGGCUUUUUGAUUCAUAGUGACACACGUUAAAAGUGAGGAUUUGUGUGUCACUCGUUUCACUUUCUGUAACCUGGUUAUUGCAGUGCUGUGGUUCCAGCCUCUCUCUUCCUGCAAGUUUUCCAAAUGAACACAUCCAUUAAUAUCCGAACCGCCUUUCACCAGGUUUCUUCCUC
This 918-nucleotide long non-coding RNA is filed under the name Scleropages formosus (Asian bonytongue). RNAcentral describes it as "lncRNA (ENSSFOG00015029726.1)". The stretch from base 248 to 315 matches the Rfam family "Small nucleolar RNA SNORD52". The record is from RNAcentral. Lineage: Eukaryota; Metazoa; Chordata; Actinopteri; Osteoglossiformes; Osteoglossidae.